This 253-nucleotide ribosomal RNA is filed under the name uncultured bacterium. Its description in RNAcentral is "partial 16S ribosomal RNA". It matches the Rfam family "Bacterial small subunit ribosomal RNA", at positions 524 to 776 of the family's 1533-position model. The record is from RNAcentral.
UACGUAGGGGGCAAGCGUUGUCCGGAUUUAUUGGGCGUAAAGAGCGUGUAGGCGGCCUGACAGGUCUGCUGUGAAAACUCGAGGCUCAACCUCGAGAUGUCGGCGGAAACCGUCUGGCUAGAGUCCGGAAGAGGAGAGUGGAAUUCCUGGUGUAGCGGUGAAAUGCGUAGAUAUCGGAAGGAACACCUGUGGCGAAAGCGGCUCACUGGACCAUAACUGACGCUGAUGCACGAAAGCUAGGGGAGCAAACAGG